ACUCCGCUACUCCGCCGCCGUCGACCUUGCCGUCGUCUGAGCUGUGCGCCGACAGCUCAUCUCCAUCCCGAGCGAGCCCUAGCUACUCCGUCGUCGUCGACAUCGCCGUCGUCUGAGGUAAGUGAUCCUCAUACUCUCCGUCUUGAUCCUCAUACAUAUUUUCCUGUUAUUGGGGUUAGGCAAAACAAUGAACAAUGGAAGAUAGAGCGCUGAGCAGUAGAUGAGAAAGUAAAGGGAUUUUGGAUGGUAGACUAGUAGUAUUUCUAGACCAGAGCACUUUCUAUGGCUAUCCGUGGCUGCUAUAUGUCAUGGGUCAUUCUUUUGAUGGGGAUUUUAACCUGUUAUGCUCUUGAAGGGCUACUUUAUGUUAUUUGCAUUUAAGUUUCAUCUUGUUUUAUGAUUGCUAUUCUAUAAAUGAUGGUCGCCUCUUUAAAUAAUGAAUUUGAUUCUC
This is a non-coding RNA of Phoenix dactylifera (date palm), 451 nucleotides long. Lineage: Eukaryota; Viridiplantae; Streptophyta; Magnoliopsida; Arecales; Arecaceae. The record is from RefSeq and is a predicted model, not a curated record.